Molecule: long non-coding RNA, 1447 nt
Organism: Poecile atricapillus (Black-capped chickadee)
Lineage: Eukaryota; Metazoa; Chordata; Aves; Passeriformes; Paridae
Exons: 4
Source: RefSeq, a predicted model, not a curated record
GAUGGGGCUAGACUAUUUACAUGUAGUGACAGGUCAAGGGGAAACAGGUUCAUGCUAGAAAUAGGUUUAGAUCAGAUACUGGGAAAAAAAUUCUUUAUUGUAAGGGAGGUGAGGCACUGGAACAGGGUAGCCAGUGAAGUUGUGGUUGUCCCAUCCCUAAACGUGUUCAAAGCCAGGCUGGAUGCAGCUCUAAGCAACCUGAACAAGUGGAGGGUGUCCCUGCCCACGGCAGGACGGCUGGAACCAGAUGAUCUUUAAAGUCCCUUCCAACCCCAACCCUGUUGUGAUUCCGUGAUUCUCGCAAGCUGUCCCCGGCUGUGCCCCAGGGGCCCGGCUGCCCCGGCCGCCCCCGCAGGGCCCACGGGAGCAGCGCCGCCACCCGAGGCGCCGCAGAGCCCGGGGGGUGCCGGGUCCGGACGGGACGGCCCGGCCCCACCAGGCCGGCGGGGAGGUCCGCGGGCGAGGCCUCCCUGCAGCGCCCCGGCCCGGGAGGCCUCGCCGAGCCCCGGCCGCGGCUCCGCCCGCGGCGGCGCCUCCGCCGGAAGGGAAGCAGAGCCGCCCCGGCCGAGGGGAGGGGAGAGCGGCGCGGGGGAGGGGACACCGCCCGCCCGGGCGCCCCCAGAGGCGGGCGGGCGGCCGCUGCGCGCUCCCCUCCGCGCGGCGGUACCUGCGCUGGAAGUCGGUCCGGAAGGGCGCCAGUGUGCCUCUAAGUCGUGAGCUUGGCAGUUUUCCUGAUGCAGACAAGAGGUGGGACUUGCUUUAUAAGUCAUCAGCCCCGAGGCCUUCACAAGAAAAACAGUGAUGUUUACCUUGGGGGAUUCUAAUUCCUCAGCUUUGGCUGUCUCCUCAGCAACUCCUGUGUUGUCAUCUGCUUCAACACAUGCACUUACAAGGAGCACUUACAAAGGGAGCUGAGUCAUUCUCUAAAUCUGGACCAUCGUCCUCUGAACAUAAAACCUUCCUCUGCAGUUCUUAAGGGCAAUCAUAUGGCAUUGACAUCCCUAAGAAAUUCAAAGUUACAUGGAAGAAAAUUAAACAGCAUAUCAAUGGAUGAGAUAGGCAUGAUGGUUUCUCCACGAUGUCAUUGCAUGUUGAUGAAGGAACAGCACUGUGAAAUAUGAGAUGCAAGUGUCAUCAGAAUAUUACCCUGGUUUUGCAAGGAGUUGCGCAAGGAGCCAUUCCUUUUCUGCAAAAGGAAGGCUUGGUUAUUCAUAAGUGUAAAAACAAGAACCAACUGCCAGCAACAGAAAAAUAAUUCUGGUUACAGAAAAAUAAAAUUUCCUGUUUUUUUAAUUUCCUUUCUAUUCCAUGAAGUAUAGAUAUUCCUAACAAUGAAAAAUAAAAAAAAGCAAACUAUCACCUCUUGUCCCAGUUUUUCUUAAAUCUAAAAAUGUUUUGCAAAUUUAACUUAAAACAGUCAAAUGUCUUGCCCUGUUUUUUCAUUUUU